CGUGUCGUAUGUAGAUAUCCGAGCGCAGGGGCUGCUGGGCCGUCGUCUGGUGCUGAAACACGAUAUGGUCUCCCGUGGCGUGGGAGAGAACUGAGGAGUUUCUGCUUGAAAGUGCGUGGAUCCGCUGUGUGGAAGGCCCAAGAAGGGUCGGGGGUGCGUGGCGGAAAGUGAGCGUGUGUGUACAGUGCAGGGCGUCUGAGGUGGUGGUGGGGCGGAAGGCAGGCAACUCAUACUUACCUGGCAGGGGAGAUACCAUGAUCACGAAGGUGGUUUUCCCAGGGCGAGGCUUAUCCAUUGCACUCCGGAUGUGCUGACCCCUGCGAUUUCCCCAAAUGUGGGAAACUCGACUGCAUAAUUUGUGGUAGUGGGGGACUGCGUUCGCGCUUUCCCCUGGCUUAUUUUUAGUGGAAGAGUAGACUCCACGAGUGCGUCUGGCCGCCCGGUCAUGUUGCUGUAAUGUGUUGGGUCCGUUUGUUUUAAGCCUCCUCUAUGUACAGGAUGAGGCCGUGAAGCAUAUAAAAGCGCCUUAAGGGCAUAGGUGGUGGGUAAGUUUGAAUCUCGCUACGACCCGCGAGCUUGCGGCUGGAGAACUGCCAGUCAGUCUCCGAGUUCACCUAGGUUGCGGCACGACUGUGAAGAGUGGUUCAGAAAGAUGUGAGCGGCCCCAAUCGCGCUUGAAAGCCAGCUCGCUCGUUGAACGCUCUUUCGGCCUCUUGAAAAGUUUGUGCGUGUGAGGGAAGGCUUCUUCGUGCGCAAGAUCCCAGCGGAGAAACCCUUACCUGAGCCAAACACACGAAGUCGGCUGAGGUGUCGGGAGGCGCCCCGUGACGAACUGCUCGUCGGCCUGUCUUGUGGGAGUCUGCCACUAGCUAUUUUCCCAGCAGUGUCCUGCUUUCAGAGGCUUCAUUUCUUGCGUGGUCAGCUGCCUUGCUUAUUUAUACGUGGCCUUAGUCGUUGCUGGAGGCCUUCUCCUGUUAAAAGCCGGACCUCUGUUUCAGCCUCGAAUGUGCACCUGACAUGCUUCAGUAGUCUGGCAAACUCGGAAACCUCCUUAACAUCCCUUCUCCUUGAAUGGCAGUAGAAUUCGUACUUUUUUUUUUUUUUUUUCCUCUUUCGGUCAAAAGUAGAUUUCCUUUUCUUUCUAUCUGAAAACAUUGAACUACAAUUUAGAAGAAAACCCCACGCCAGUUGUCGGCAGUUUGCUGGGCUGUUUGCCCACCCCUUUCUCAGGAUGUGUUGUGCUCACUUCUGAUUCACAAAGUCCUGCUGGCCAAUAGAAACCACUGGGCCAAACAGAAAAGGCAGGACCGUGGCGGGAAGGACUGUCCUCCCCCUCGUGGCUGCCUCGGGGACGGCACUCGUAGAUCCGCUCAGCCCCCAAAAGCCUCUGAGAUCGGAGGAGGUGCUGGGAGUGGGGUGAUGCUUAAGGGUAGGUCCAAAGAAAACUAACCAAAAAGCACACAGGAUGCAGAUCGAGGAUGAGAUUUCCUUGCUCACAUAUGAGCUAUCUUCAGCAUUACUGAUUGGGGCAUAGACAUGGAUUACUGUGAUACUGAAUGGUUUGCCUUGGAAACGAACAGAGAUCAUUCUGUCGUUUUUGAGAUUGCAUCCAAGUGCUGCAUUUU
This is a long non-coding RNA of Bubalus bubalis (water buffalo), 1625 nucleotides long. RefSeq lists it as uncharacterized. The record is from RefSeq and is a predicted model, not a curated record. NCBI's taxonomy places the organism in Eukaryota, Metazoa, Chordata, Mammalia, Artiodactyla, Bovidae. The transcript is spliced from 3 exons.